This is a long non-coding RNA of Amphibalanus amphitrite, 712 nucleotides long. RefSeq lists it as uncharacterized. Lineage: Eukaryota; Metazoa; Arthropoda; Thecostraca; Balanomorpha; Balanidae. The transcript is spliced from 3 exons. The record is from RefSeq and is a predicted model, not a curated record.
AUUCAACUCAAGGCGCCCAAGGCUAUAAACAUUUUCAAAUUGAAUAAAUUUUCUUGUUGGAUUUGUUUUUGAUAGGCCACGGAACAGGAAACGGAUUUUGAAAUGUAUUUUUAUUGCUUGUUUCUGGCGGUGGUUCUGGAGACAGCGUGUCGAUCCAGCUGUAGAACGUCAUCCGGAGGUGGCAGAGUGUGAUGGCCAGCCACGCGGCGCGCGUAUCGACAUUGACCAGAAACUAUCACAUCAUCUCCAGGUCACUGGUCGAGGGCGCUCGAGCUGACGGUGUCUUCCGACGGCUCCACGGUGACCAGCGCCGCCACCGCCGAGACCAUCCGACUCCUGAAAUGCUAGCGGCCGUGCACGAACAAGAGGCUCUAAGCAUCCAGGUGCAAGGCAAGCGCCAUGCUCAGGUGUCAUCCGAAGAAGGCCGCACAGUGCACUUUAGGCUGAGCUCGGGUGUAGUGCGCGCCGACGGAUAGGAUGAAAUGACGGGCCGGCCAUCAGAUUUCAGUGCGGGGAUCAAGAUGGUCGGAGCCGAUGUGGCUCGGUUGAUGAUGUGGCAGGGUUGAUUGAGAGUGAAAGCGAGACACCCGGAUCUGUAAAAAAUACGCCGAUACGGGUCUCGAACGUCGUCUCGCAAUUUGUGCUCUGUAAUAUGACGGCUAUGCCGUGGUAUCAUUCACUCUCGGUGCGCUAAUAAAUAAUAAAUAGGACA